Molecule: ribosomal RNA, 432 nt
Filed under: uncultured bacterium
Lineage: Bacteria
Description: partial 16S ribosomal RNA
Rfam family: Bacterial small subunit ribosomal RNA
Source: RNAcentral
AGCGAACGCUGGCGGCAGGCUUAACACAUGCAAGUCGAGCGGGCACUUCGGUGUCAGCGGCAGACGGGUGAGUAACACGUGGGAACGUACCCUUCGGUUCGGAAUAACGCUGGGAAACUAGCGCUAAUACCGGAUACGCCCUUUUGGGGAAAGGUUUACUGCCGAAGGAUCGGCCCGCGUCUGAUUAGCUAGUUGGUGGGGUAAUGGCCUACCAAGGCGACGAUCAGUAGCUGGUCUGAGAGGAUGAUCAGCCACACUGGGACUGAGACACGGCCCAGACUCCUACGGGAGGCAGCAGUGGGGAAUACUGGACAAUGGGCGCAAGCCUGAUCCAGCCAUGCCGCGUGAGUGAUGAAGGCCUUAGGGUUGUAAAGCUCUUUUGUCCGGGACGAUAAUGACGGUACCGGAAGAAUAAGCCCCGGCUAACUUCGU